CCCAGAAGCCAGAACAGCAAGAGGGAUUGCUUUCACUGUGUAGCGAUCCCUCUUGCUGUUCUGGCUUCUGAG
This 72-nucleotide microRNA precursor is filed under the name Podarcis lilfordi (Lilford's wall lizard). The record is from RNAcentral. Lineage: Eukaryota; Metazoa; Chordata; Lepidosauria; Squamata; Lacertidae.